Molecule: ribosomal RNA, 194 nt
Filed under: uncultured Ramlibacter sp.
Lineage: Bacteria; Pseudomonadati; Pseudomonadota; Betaproteobacteria; Burkholderiales; Comamonadaceae
Description: partial 16S ribosomal RNA
Rfam family: Bacterial small subunit ribosomal RNA
Source: RNAcentral
CCUACGGGAGGCAGCAGUGGGGAAUUUUGGACAAUGGGCGAAAGCCUGAUCCAGCCAUUCCGCGUGCAGGAUGAAGGCCCUCGGGUUGUAAACUGCUUUUGUACGGAACGAAAAGGCUCUCUCUAAUACAGGGGGCUUAUGACGGUACCGUAAGAAUAAGCACCGGCUAACUACGUGCCAGCAGCCGCGGUAAU